UGGGGAAGGGUCUCCUUCUGGAGAUUUCUUCUCUGUGGAGCUUUUCCUGUAAAUCCAGAUCUUUGGAUACAGAUUUCAUAGAUUUCAAAUGCAAAGAACUCUGCAUGUGAUCAAGAUCAGGAAACCUGGAUCUAAAGGGUCUCUGAUCAGAAAACACUGUGGCAGGAACCAAGUGAACCCUGGUUGUACAGGAUUUUGUUUUUCUUUUUAUCAGUGAAGACGGAGUUCAAAAUGCUAUUGAAUCUGUAUAGCAGCGCAUCAGGCUUGGCUGAAGCAGGUGACUACAAAAGACAUUAGGCAAAAGAGACACGAGCCUGAAAUAUUAAAUGAAGUGUGCCGCUCUAAUUUCCUUCUAAAAAGAUAUGUUUUUGAGGUUAAGAUAAUCUGUGUUGCAUACGAUAGUAUAACACAUGCCAUUCCGUUUAAUAAUCUAUAAUUAGUAAGAAAAUGUUUUUCACCUAACACCUGCAGCCUUUUUAGUAAAUGAAUCAACAACAUAAACAACUCAGAGAUAAUGAUUUUUCACUAUGUACCUAUUCCUUUUGUUCUUCCUCUUUUAGAUCCAUGUAGAUUCGUGCUGUGGUUCUGCCCUACUUUAACAGUCAGCUGGUUGAUUUUUUUUCCUCUACGUCUUUGAUUGUACCACCAUAAAAAUGAAAAGAGCUUCAUCAGAUUUUAGUUUUGGUCUAGGGACUUUUCCUAGCUCUCAAGCCUGAAUGAAUAUUAAAGCAACUCAAAAUGCAACAAUUGUUAUUCUGAGGAUAAAAUAAAAAGAAAUAUUCUACUGAACAUCACAGUAGACUGAUGAAAAGGUAAUGGCACUUCUGCAGAAUAGAAUAAAAUCAAAUCCUAAUUGUUUUGGUCAAUUUGACUUGCCAGCAUCUCCUGCUUUAAUGUCUGCAUAAAUUAGAAACCUUUUCUCUGUUCAAAUUCCUGUGGGGUUGCUGUCUUUGGCUUCUGUCUACUUAAUUCAGUUCAGCUAGUGAAUGCUUUUGGAUAAUGUCAUGAUAUUUCCAUUAAAGAAUUCAAAGUUGGUGAGAAGAAAGGUGUCAAAUUGUUAUUAUUCAAUAGCGAUAGUUUCAGUGAUAAGUCUUUGAUUUGGCAGAUUCCUUCAGCACUGUAAAGAAUGUUAGUGAAAAAACUGAGGUACAUGAUCCAAGGACAAAGCUAUUUGCCCAGUGUACCUGCAGGCAGGGUAAACUGCAAUUCUGGCUACAACAAAUGAAGCUUCCAGUACCAGUGGCUGGCUAACAAUAAGGGUGUGUCAGCAAUUGCAUUGGCUUUUGGAAAGAAGGAGAAAAGGAAUUAAUAAUGUUCAUUGUUCCUUUCUGGAAGAAAGUAAGUUUGGUCAUGGGAUAAAAACUGUUUCAUGAAGUUGUGGUCUAAAUCUGCUCUUGGCUCAAUAUGUCCUGGUCUUCCUUAUUUUCUACUCAUAAAUCUAGUGAAUAAAUGCGUUCUCUCCAGUAGGGCUGCUAAGUGUUCAGUCUAGACCCCACGUUACUAAGUCUAAUUCUCUCGCUAGAGAACUGCCAUUUCAUGUUUUUCUUUAUUAAGCAGAAGAUAUGUUAGCACAAGGAAAGUUGCUAUUUCCAAAACAACUGAAAAUUACCAUUAUUUUUGAACAGUGGAAUAUCGUGAAAAUACAAAAGAUUAAAUCCCUCUAACAGUUGUAGAGCACUGUAGUACAGACUAAAAAAAAAUAAUGCAAUAAUUUUGGGUACUGUUUCAUAAAUUGGUUUGUUCUGUCUAUGAUGUGCAAGGAUUUGAGUAUCAUUUUACAAAACAUGUAUAUAAAAUAUUUUUAAUUACCUUUUUUACAAUGCCAGUUGAAAACAUGUAGACAUCUCACAGUGCCUACAAAUCCUGCUCUCUGUUAGUGUAUUUGAAUGACCUUGAGGUGCUCCCACCCUGACUCCAUGAGGGGCCUUGCUGGGCUGUAUCCAUUUCUGGGGAAAUAGAGGAAUAUGGACAAGUAAGAAAAAAACAACUAAACAACAAAAAUAUAUUUUUCUUGAAUGAUAAUUUUAGAUUAUAGCUAGCAGAAUCAAGGGCACAUAGGCAUGGCACAUGAUGAUUAUGAUUUAUGGAAGCAUUAUAAAGGAAGAAAAUCAAUAUAUAUUCUAAAAUUUCUGUUUGCUCAGAUUAGUCUAAACCUCCUCCUUCAGUUCAUGAUGACAGAGGAAGGCUACAUUGAUAAGAAUGCUUUCUUUAUUCCUCUCAAAAGAAUCUCAAUAACUGUUAAUGUACAAAUCCAGUUUUAGAAGAGGAAUAUUUUCUAACCUUAGAUUUUAAUAAAAAAAAAACAGCAGGUAUGACCUGUAAUAAAUAUCUUACGUUUAGGUUCAAGAGUGAUAUUUGAUAUGCAACUGCUACUGAUAAACACUGGGACAAUGCAGUAUAUGAAGAUUCUAUUACAAGCAUACGAAAUCAAAAUAUGAAUCUGUCUUCCCUUCAGUUCUUUCAGUCCUCUUUGCUAUGCCUGUAUCAAUGUGAUGUCUUCAGUCAAAGAUCUAUCGUGUUAUUAAUUUAUACUUUAUUGCAUUUUGUAUCCAACCAAAUGUAGACAUUAAAUAAUACAACAUGGCUUUUUUGUGUAAUGAA
Phasianus colchicus (ring-necked pheasant) is the source of this 2601-nucleotide long non-coding RNA. RefSeq lists it as uncharacterized. NCBI's taxonomy places the organism in Eukaryota, Metazoa, Chordata, Aves, Galliformes, Phasianidae. The record is from RefSeq and is a predicted model, not a curated record.